This 672-nucleotide non-coding RNA is filed under the name Neurospora tetrasperma FGSC 2509. RNAcentral's name for it is "Eukaryotic small subunit ribosomal RNA". It matches the Rfam family "Eukaryotic small subunit ribosomal RNA", at positions 17 to 692 of the family's 1831-position model. Lineage: Eukaryota; Fungi; Ascomycota; Sordariomycetes; Sordariales; Sordariaceae. The record is from Rfam by way of RNAcentral.
CCAGUAGUCAUAUGCUUGUCUCAAAGAUUAAGCCAUGCAUGUCUAAGUUUAAGCAAUUAAACCGCGAAACUGCGAAUGGCUCAUUAAAUCAGUUAUAGUUUAUUUGAUAGUACCUUACUACAUGGAUAACCGUGGUAAUUCUAGAGCUAAUACAUGCUAAAAACCCCGACUUCGGAAGGGGUGUAUUUAUUAGAUUAAAAACCAAUGCCCUUCGGGGCGUAACUGGUGAUUCAUAAUAACUUCUCGAAUCGCAUGGCCUUGCGCUGGCGAUGGUUCAUUCAAAUUUCUGCCCUAUCAACUUUCGACGGCUGGGUCUUGGCCAGCCAUGGUGACAACGGGUAACGGAGGGUUAGGGCUCGACCCCGGAGAAGGAGCCUGAGAAACGGCUACUACAUCCAAGGAAGGCAGCAGGCGCGCAAAUUACCCAAUCCCGACACGGGGAGGUAGUGACAAUAAAUACUGAUACAGGGCUCUUUUGGGUCUUGUAAUUGGAAUGAGUACAAUUUAAAUCCCUUAACGAGGAACAAUUGGAGGGCAAGUCUGGUGCCAGCAGCCGCGGUAAUUCCAGCUCCAAUAGCGUAUAUUAAAGUUGUUGAGGUUAAAAAGCUUGUAGUUGAACCUUGGGCUCGGCCCGUCGGUCCGCCUCACCGCGUGCACUGACUGGGUCGGGCC